This 74-nucleotide transfer RNA is filed under the name Grandisonia alternans. RNAcentral describes it as "tRNA-Trp". It matches the Rfam family "tRNA". Rfam says of the family: Transfer RNA (tRNA) molecules are approximately 80 nucleotides in length. Lineage: Eukaryota; Metazoa; Chordata; Amphibia; Gymnophiona; Indotyphlidae. The record is from RNAcentral.
AGGAGCUUAGGUUAAUACCUUCAAACCUAGGGCCUUCAAAGCCCUCAAUAGGAGUGAAAACCCCCUAGCUCUUG